RNAcentral lists this ribosomal RNA (340 nucleotides) under Micronycteris minuta. RNAcentral's name for it is "partial 12S ribosomal RNA". It matches the Rfam family "Bacterial small subunit ribosomal RNA", at positions 536 to 989 of the family's 1533-position model. Lineage: Eukaryota; Metazoa; Chordata; Mammalia; Chiroptera; Phyllostomidae. The record is from RNAcentral.
GACUCUAAUUAAUAGACAUACGGCGUAAAGCGUGUUUAAGAAAAUCUACAACAAUAAAGCCAAACCUUAGCUAAGCUGUAAAAAGCCACAGCUACCGGAAGCCCAACUACGAAAGUAACUUUAAAGUAUCUGAAGACACGAAAACUGAGAUCCAAACUGGGAUUAGAUACCCCACUAUGCUCAGCCCUAAACCUAAAAAAUUAGCACAACAAAAUUCUUCGCCAGAGUACUACUAGCCAAAGCUUAAAACUCAAAGGACUUGGCGGUGCUUUAUAUCCCUCUAGAGGAGCCUGUUCUAUAAUCGAUAAACCCCGAUAAACCCUACCAACCCUUGCCAAUG